UCUACGGGUGGCAGCAGUGGGGAAUAUUGGACAAUGGGCGAAAGCCUGAUCCAGCCAUGCCGCGUGUGUGAAGAAGGCCUUCGGGUUGUAAAGCACUUUCAGUGGGGAAGAAAGCCUUGGGGCUAAUACCCUCGAGGAAGGACAUCACCCACAGAAGAAGCACCGGCUAACUCCGUGCCAGCAGCCGCGGUAAUACGGAGGGUGCGAGCGUUAAUCGGAAUUACUGGGCGUAAAGCGCGCGUAGGCGGUCUGAUAAGCCGGUUGUGAAAGCCCCGGGCUCAACCUGGGAACGGCAUCCGGAACUGUCAGGCUAGAGUGCAGGAGAGGAAGGUAGAAUUCCCGGUGUAGCGGUGAAAUGCGUAGAGAGCGGGAGGAAUACCAGUGGCGAAGGCGGCCUUCUGGACUGACACUGACGCUGAGGUGCGAAAGCGUGGGUAGCAAACAGGAUUAGAUACCCUAGUAGUC
This 465-nucleotide ribosomal RNA is filed under the name Vreelandella stevensii. Its description in RNAcentral is "partial 16S ribosomal RNA". It matches the Rfam family "Bacterial small subunit ribosomal RNA", at positions 338 to 795 of the family's 1533-position model. Lineage: Bacteria; Pseudomonadati; Pseudomonadota; Gammaproteobacteria; Oceanospirillales; Halomonadaceae. The record is from RNAcentral.